Molecule: ribosomal RNA, 433 nt
Filed under: uncultured bacterium
Lineage: Bacteria
Description: partial 16S ribosomal RNA
Rfam family: Bacterial small subunit ribosomal RNA
Source: RNAcentral
AACGAACGCUGGCGGCAUGCCUAACACAUGCAAGUCGAACGAGACCUUCGGGUCUAGUGGCGCACGGGUGCGUAACGCGUGGGAACCUGCCCUUAGGUUCGGAAUAACUCCCCGAAAGGGGUGCUAAUACCGGAUAAUGUCUUCGGACCAAAGAUUUAUCGCCUUUGGAUGGGCCCGCGUUGGAUUAGCUAGUUGGUAGGGUAAAAGCCUACCAAGGCGACGAUCCAUAGCUGGUCUGAGAGGAUGAUCAGCCACACUGGGACUGAGACACGGCCCAGACUCCUACGGGAGGCAGCAGUGGGGAAUAUUGGACAAUGGGCGAAAGCCUGAUCCAGCAAUGCCGCGUGAGUGAUGAAGGCCUUAGGGUUGUAAAGUUCUUUUACCCGGGAUGAUAAUGACAGUACCGGGAGAAUAAGCUCCGGCUAACUACGUG